CUAGAGCGAGCACCUCGAGUAGUUCAUCAUCUCAGUUAGCUGAUCUUGCUUAAGAGUAGAGAGACUUCAUGGCCUUCUCAGAUCGAAACUUGAGCUGAUCCAGAUUGAUAUUAGGAACUCGAGGGAUUUCAUCUGAUCUUAAGCGGCUCAGAGAUUCAAUGAGAGCUGCAUUAUCUUAGCUAGAUGCCAUUAGGACCCAGCUCCAAUCCAGACCCUCUGUAUCCACUGAGCCUACCCUUAUUCAGCCUAUUGCGUUCCAUCCCCCGACCUCUUCUACUCAGACUAGAUCAUCCAGUCGAGGCUGAGGUAGAUGUGGUCAUGACUCUACUUUAGAGUCAUUCUCUCAUUUUGUUCCUUCUAAUCACGAGCCUGAUGCCUAAUCUCCCUGAUCAUGAUUUUACUAUUUUGUAUUAGCUGCUUUAGGUCUCAUACUACUUGGUUAUUAUAUUUUGUACUUGGUUAUUGUAUUUUGUACUUGGUUAUUAUAUGAGAACCUUAUGGUUAUAGAUAUGUAUGGCAAUGACUUGAUCAUGUACUUGACUUUUGUAACCUUCUAUUUUGUUGUAUUUAAAUGAGAUUAUCUAUUAUCA
This 590-nucleotide long non-coding RNA is filed under the name Elaeis guineensis (African oil palm). RNAcentral describes it as "long non-coding RNA (EGUI_LNC052437)". Lineage: Eukaryota; Viridiplantae; Streptophyta; Magnoliopsida; Arecales; Arecaceae. The record is from RNAcentral.